UUAAAUUAAUAAGGGCGUAUGGUGGAUGCCUAGGCAUUAGAAGACGAAGAAGGACGCGACAAACAGCGAAAUUGCCUCGGGGAGUUGUAAGUAAACAUUGAUCCGGGGGUAUCCGAAUGAGGAAACUUACCAAGAAAGGUAUCCUAAAAUGAAUACAUAGUUUUAGUGAAGGAAACCCUGUGAACUGAAACAUCUUAGUAACAGGAGGAAAAGAAAGAAAAAUCGAUUGCCUUAGUAGUGGCGAGCGAAACGGCAAUAGCCCAAACCAAUCUACGGAUUGGGGUAGUAGGACACUUCGAAACGAGAAUAAGAGCUAAAGAUAGCUAAAUGAUUUGGGAAAGUCAGUCAAAGAAGGUGAAAACCCUGUAGGCGAAAUCUGAAGCACUCAGAAGUGAAUCCUGAGUACGGCGGGACACGAGAAAUCCUGUCGGAAUCAACGGGGACCAUCCCGUAAGGCUAAAUACUCUCUAAUGACCGAUAGUGAACAAGUACCGUGAGGGAAAGGUGAAAAGAACCCCGGGAGGGGAGUGAAAUAGAGAAUCUGAAACCAUAUGCUUACAAAAAGUUCGAGCCCGUUAAAGGGUGAGAGCGUGCCUUUUGCAGAAUGAGCCGGCGAGUUAUGGUAUUGUGCAAGGUUAAGUAGAAAAUACGGAGCCGAAGCGAAAGCGAGUCUUAAAAGGGCGAAGAAGUACAAUGCUGUAGACCCGAAACUGAGUGAUCUAGCCAUGAGCAGGUUGAAGUGUAGGUAACACUACAUGGAGGACCGAACCAGGGUACUAUGUAACGUGCUUGGAUGACUUGUGGUUAGCGGUGAAAUUCCAAUCGAACUCAGAGAUAGCUGGUUCUCCCCGAAAUAGGUUUAGGCCUAGCCUUGAAGAAUUUCCUCUGGAGGUAGAGCACUGAAUGUGGAAUGGCCGCGUCUAGCGGUACUGACUGCAAUCAACCUCCGAAUGCCAGAGUAGUUAGCUUCAGGAGUCAGUUUAUGGGUGAUAACGUCCAUAUGCGAGAGAAAAACAAUUCAGACCACCAGUUAAGGUCCCAAAAUAUAUGUUAAGUGGGAAAGGAUGUGGAGUUGCACGAACAGCUAGGAGGUUGGCUCAGAAGCAGCCAUCCUUUAAAGAGUGCGUAAUAGCUCACUAGUCGAGUGGCUCUGCGCCGAAAAUGUACCGGGGCUAAACAUAUUACCGAAACUGUGGAUUUAUGCGAUAGCAUAAGUGGUAGGGGAGCGUUCUAAGGGCGACGAAGAUAGAUCGAGAGGACUAUUGGAGCGCUUAGAAGUGAGAAUGCCGGUGUGAGUAACGUAAGGUAGGUGAGAAUCCUACCCACUGAUUGACCAAGGAUUCCAGGGUCAAGUUCGUCUACCCUGGGUAAGUCAGGACCUAAGGCGAGGCUGAGAAGCGUAGUCGAUGGACAACAGGUUUAUAUUCCUGUACUAUUUAUAGGACUGAAGGAGUGACAAAGGAAGCUAGUAAGAACCAUUUAAUGGAUUAUGGUCUAAGCACAAAGACUGAUACAUAGGAAAAUCCGUGAUAUCGAACGGUUGAAGUGUGAUGGCGAAGCAGUCUACGGACAGCGAAGUCUUAUGAGGCUAAACUUUUUAAAAAAGCUUCUAAAGAAAUGCUAUAAAUACCUGUACUAAGAACCAACGCAGGUGGUCAAGGAGAGAAUCCUAAGGUGAGCGAGAGAACUAUGGUUAAGGAACUCGGCACAAUGAUCCCGUAACUUCGGAAUAAGGGAAGGUCUUGAAAAAGACCCGCAGUGAAUAGGCCCAAGCGACUGUUUACCAAAAACACAGGUUUCUGCAAAAGCGUAAGCUGAAGUAUAGGAGCUGACGCCUGCCCAGUGCUGGAAGGUUAAGAUGAUUUGUAAGAUGGACGAAAGUCGAUAACAUCGAAGCAAUGAAUUGAAGCCCCAGUGAACGGCGGCGAUAACUAUAAUCGUCCAAAGGUAGCGAAAUUCCUUGUCAGGUAAGUUCUGACCCGCACGAAAGGCGUAACGA
Molecule: ribosomal RNA, 1999 nt
Filed under: human gut metagenome
Description: bacterial LSU rRNA
Rfam family: Bacterial large subunit ribosomal RNA
Source: RNAcentral